Molecule: long non-coding RNA, 2513 nt
Filed under: Lynx pardinus (Iberian lynx)
Lineage: Eukaryota; Metazoa; Chordata; Mammalia; Carnivora; Felidae
Source: RNAcentral
GUUCAGCUCAAAAGACCUUACGGGUUGGAGGAUGGGACAAGACCCAUCCCUGCAAAGUAAGCAUUCCAGUGAUGCUCCAGGUGGGUAUGCAGUGAUUUACCGCAGUUAAGGGUGGGCACUGUGUCUAGAUGGGGUUUGUUCUUGUUCAGAUUAUGCUGACCACUCUGUGAUGAACAUAAAAAAAGACAAGCAUAUGGCUGAUCUUAAAAGUGAUGUCAUCUUCCUGCUGAGAAGUGGACCAAGAGUAUUCAAGGACCUAUGAAUGGCUAUUUUUAGGUACAUAUAAUGCCUUUUCUGUUUCCAGCAUCUCCUCCCCAAGCCUGAGGAAUCCAGCUGCCUCCAAGGGUGAAGACAGGUAAUUUUUUGACCAGAUGAGGGGAUUGGAGUGUCCUCUCCUGUUUGGCCUACAACCAGGAGAGCAAAAUGAGCAGUUUUGCCUUUUUGCUUCUUGCAGCUUAUUCCUCUUAGAAUGACUUUCCUGUGGAGGGAAAGAGCAACCCAACAGUACAGUUAAUUCUUGAGAUGGUGUGCUCUCCCUCACCCAUAUGUCACUGUCAGAUGAUUUGAAUAGAUAUGCUGAUCCUCUGUGAGGUACAACAAUUAAUAGCAUGUUAGAGUUCUGAUGGCAGUUUCUAUUAAUGAAGAAACUUUGUUCUAGCCUAGUACUUUUUGAUAACCAUCUGGUCUCCUUUUGCAGGUCGUCCUGAUGGUGGUAAUAUGUUGAUUUACAUUAUGGUGAGUAGCUUCUCCUAAUACUGUUGUUUUGUUAGCGUAUAUGUGAACCCAUCAAAGGGUGAUUUUUUUUUUUCAUCGUGUGGUUAUUUGUCUUCUUGUGACCAAAGACUUGAUCAGCCCGUAUAACUUUCUAGUUCUUUUUCCUUGUAGUGAUAUUUCUUGAUCUAUUUCUCUAGGUGCCCACUGAUGUGCUCAGGGUCGAACUCAUGGAAAGAGUUAAGGAUGGUGAGUACUUGUAACCUUGCUGAUUACAGCUUGCCCCAGAGUAUAAUGCCAAUGAAGAGAGCAAGCAUCCUGUCUUACCCCUGCUCUAGCCCCAGAGCCAGUAAUGGUGAACCCACUGGGGCUAACUGGGUGAGAGGAUGAGAAUUUGUUCCAUAAGGAACUGUCUGAGGUACAGCGUAUCCCUGUCAAUAGUAUUUGCUUGGGUUUUCUUCACUUAAACCCAUUAAUUAUAUAGCUAGAAUAGCUUUAGCUGUUUUAGAUACUUGCUUGGCUAAUUACAUGAUCUUCUUCAGGAGCAGCUUGUUCGUGUAUACUACCAAAAGGCCUCCAAGUUAACAGGUUAGUUGGUUAAUGUCUGUGGUUCAUGCCACCAAAUAGGCAAGUUUCCGUGAUGAAUAAAACUAGCUCACUAUGACUCCACAAUGAAAACAUGUGAACACCUGAGAAACUGGAAAAAGUAGGAAUGGGGGGGAUGCCACGUGGAAGGACUUUUCAUUACCCACAGCUUUGUCUUUCUCUAGGUAUCGUUACCCAUAACCUGCUCACUUGCUCAGAGGUGAGUAGUUUCCAUACGUGAUACCUGAAGCAUAUUGGGUACAAAAAAAAACACCCUUUGGGGCCUAAACACGUGAUGACUUACAUGGAAUCUCGUUCGGCUGAUAACUUGCUGUUGAGAUUGGAAAUCUGAUUUUCCUAGAAAUGAUGGUUUUAAAGGGGAACGAUUUAUUGCUGAAGGUGAGCAUUACUGACUCCAGUCUGGUUUGUUUCAGGUUCAGCACCUUCUCUGGAGCCCAAGAAUGAUUUGAGGUGAAUGCCUUUGUAAUGUUGUCAUUUAUAGCCAUUAUGUAAAAUUUACUAGGUGUUUUUAAUGGGGAGGGGGCAACACUUUGGUCUGGGUAGCUAUUCGAAGAAGACAUUACUGGCUUAAUUCAGUCUUGUCUGUGGACACCCUGAACCAUCUGUGACAAGCUCCCACUCACCAGUGAUGAAUUCAAUACCGCCCCAGUCUGAACACUGUGACUGAAAGGUAUUCUCUGAGCUGUGAGCUUAUCUUAGAGUAAGAAGUGGUAAGUUGGCUGGUGGUUUCUAUGUAAGAUGUGCAUGCAGAAUACUACAUAACCUUUACAACUGUGCCUUCCCUCUAAGCAAUAGGGACCCAGGGGGAUAACUGAGAGGCCUAUAAUUCCCAAUCAUUCUUUUACAGGUACCCUCAGCCAUUUCUCUGCUCAGCUCCAGUCUGAAGUCAGGUGGGUAAACCUAGAUACUAGAUGGUCCAAAUUAAAACUUCCCAGUGAAGAAACAGUCACAUGUCUUACUUCCUGUUCUAGUCCCAGAGCCUGUAAAGGUGAACCCACUGGGACUGGCUGGGGGAAAAGAGGAAGCUUGUUCCAGAAGGAACAGUCUGAGGGAUUACAAGAGAUUUCUAAAGAUGGGAAAGGGAAGGACAAGUCACUUUGACGUAGAGUGUUUUUUUUUUUUUUCUCCAGGUCUGAAGAAGGAACAAGGCAUAGGUAAUGGGUAGGUAUUUGUCCAAAUACUGGUGUUUAUUUAAU